UACGUAGGGUGCAAGCGUUAUCCGGAAUUAUUGGGCGUAAAGAGCUCGUAGACGGUUUGUCACGUCUGCUGUGAAAACUGGAGGCUCAACCUCCAGCCUGCAGUGGGUACGGGCAGACUAGAGUGCGGUAGGGGAGAUUGGAAUUCCUGGUGUAGCGGUGGAAUGCGCAGAUAUCAGGAGGAACACCGAUGGCGAAGGCAGAUCUCUGGGCCGUAACUGACGCUCAUGCACGAAAGCGUGGGGAGCAAACAGG
RNAcentral lists this ribosomal RNA (253 nucleotides) under uncultured bacterium. RNAcentral describes it as "partial 16S ribosomal RNA". It matches the Rfam family "Bacterial small subunit ribosomal RNA", at positions 524 to 776 of the family's 1533-position model. The record is from RNAcentral.